This 275-nucleotide long non-coding RNA is filed under the name Bos taurus (domestic cattle). RNAcentral describes it as "long non-coding RNA NONBTAT021722". The record is from RNAcentral. Lineage: Eukaryota; Metazoa; Chordata; Mammalia; Artiodactyla; Bovidae.
GCAGACUGACAAUUGAUUUCUAGAAGGAAUAAAUGAAUGAGAUAAAAAAAUUUAAAGAAUGACUGAGUUAGUCCAGUUUAAUUAAGGAGAGGUUGAAGAAACAAAUCUCAAUCAAUGAACACAUACACUGCUAAUGAUUGAACUUGUGAUACUUUUUAAAAAUAUGAAUUUCUUAGUCUUCCAUCCCUACCCCCAUAGCCCCCACCUUGGGUUGGAACCUAGUUGAAGCUUAGGUAAAACACUUAGCUUAAAUCUUAAAAAUGUACUUUAGAAUU